This is a long non-coding RNA of Sinocyclocheilus rhinocerous, 632 nucleotides long. RefSeq lists it as uncharacterized. The transcript has 3 exons. Lineage: Eukaryota; Metazoa; Chordata; Actinopteri; Cypriniformes; Cyprinidae. The record is from RefSeq and is a predicted model, not a curated record.
AACUGUCUACUGUCCCCCUGUAUUGAUUGACACUGGUUUCAUGUCUCGGUCUCCCUGUUGCAAAAAGCUAUUACAAAUAGAAGGUUAAUUUUUGACAUGCAAUUCCCUAAUCAUCCACUUGGGGUAAAAUGGAAGGUUGUGAAAGAUGUCCACUGUCGCUCUCUAUUGAUUGAUACUGGUUUCAUGUCUUUGUCUCCCUGAUGUAAAAAGUCAUUACAAAAAGAAGGUUAAUUUUGAACAUGCAAUACCCUUUUCUACCAGUAGGGGUAAAAUGGAAGGUUGUGAAAGAUGUCCACUGUCCCCGUCUAUUGAAUGCCACUGGUCUCAUGCCUCUGUCUCCCUGAUGUAAAAAGUUAUUACAAAAAGAAGGUUAAUUUUGGACAUGCAAUUCCCUAAUCAUCCACUUGGGGUAAAAUGGAAGGUUGUGAAAGAUGUCCACUGUUGCUCUCUACUGAUUGACCCUGGUUUCAUGUCUUUGUCUCCCUGAUGUAAAAAGUUAUUACAAAAAGAAGGUUAAUUUUGAACAUGCAAUACCCAAAUCAUACACUUGGGGUAAAAUGGAAGGUUGUGAAAAAUGUCCACUGUCCCCCUCUAUUGAUUGACACUGGUAUCAUGUCUCUAUCUUCCUGCUG